GACGAACGCUGGCGGCGUGCUUAACACAUGCAAGUCGAACGGAAAGGCCCUGCUUUUGUGGGGUGCUCGAUUGGCGAACGGGUGAGUAACACGUGAGUAACCUGCCCUUGACUUUGGGAUAACUUCAGGAAACUGGGGCUAAUACCGGAUAGGAGCUCUUGCUGCAUGGUGGGGGUUGGAAAGUUUCGGCGGUUGGGGAUGGACUCGCGGCUUAUGCGCUUGUUGGUGGGGUAGUGGCUUACCAAGCCUUCGACGGGUAGCCGGCCUGAGAGGGCGAACGGCCACAUUACGACUGAGAGACGGACCAGACGCCUACGGGAGGCAGCAGUGGAAAAUAUUGCGCAACGGGCGGGAGCCUGAUGCAGCAACGCCGCGUGCGGGAUGACGGCCUACGAGUUGUGAACCGCUUUCGCCUGUGAUGAAGCGUGAGUGACGGUAAUGGGUAAAGAAGCACCGGCUAACUACGUG
This 468-nucleotide ribosomal RNA is filed under the name uncultured bacterium. RNAcentral describes it as "partial 16S ribosomal RNA". It matches the Rfam family "Bacterial small subunit ribosomal RNA", at positions 28 to 507 of the family's 1533-position model. The record is from RNAcentral.